RNAcentral lists this ribosomal RNA (374 nucleotides) under uncultured organism. Its description in RNAcentral is "partial 16S ribosomal RNA". It matches the Rfam family "Bacterial small subunit ribosomal RNA", at positions 527 to 896 of the family's 1533-position model. The record is from RNAcentral.
GGACCGUCCAAACGUUAUUCGGAAUCACUGGGGCUUAAAGGGUGCGUAGGCGGCCUGACAAGUUGGGUGUGAAAUCCCUCGGGCUCAACCGAGGGAACUGCGCUCAAAACUGUCAGGCUAGAGGGAGAUAGAGGUGAGCGGAACCUAUGGUGGAGCGGUGAAAUGCGUUGAUAUCAUAAGGAACACCGGUGGCGAAAGCGGCUCACUGGAUCUCUUCUGACGCUGAGGCACGAAAGCUAGGGUAGCGAACGGGAUUAGAUACCCCGGUAGUCCUAGCUGUAAACGAUGAGCACUUGGCUGGAGACUCCUCCAUAGGUUUCCGGCCGAAGCGAAAGUGUUAAGUGCCCCGCCUGGGGAGUAUGGUCGCAAGGCUG